AUACGGAGGAAUCCGAGUGUUAUCCGGAUUUACUGGGUUUAAAGGGUGCGUAGGCGGGCGCCUAAGUCAGCGGUGAAAUGCAGCGGCUCAACCGUUGAACUGCCGUUGAAACUGGGCGCCUUGGAUGCGAUCGAGGCCGGCGGAAUGCGUGGUGUAGCGGUGAAAUGCUUAGAUAUCACGCAGAACGCCAAUUGCGAAGGCAGCUGGCCGGGCCGCAAUCGACGCUGAGGCACGAAAGCGUGGGGAUC
This 248-nucleotide ribosomal RNA is filed under the name uncultured bacterium. RNAcentral's name for it is "partial 16S ribosomal RNA". It matches the Rfam family "Bacterial small subunit ribosomal RNA", at positions 523 to 769 of the family's 1533-position model. The record is from RNAcentral.